Molecule: long non-coding RNA, 3851 nt
Filed under: Ursus thibetanus thibetanus
Lineage: Eukaryota; Metazoa; Chordata; Mammalia; Carnivora; Ursidae
Description: lncRNA (ENSUTTG00000012318.1)
Source: RNAcentral
AUGCUAAAAAAGAUUAGAAGGAUUCUGGGCAGAGUCCUAGCUCUGCACAUUCCUUCUAGCUCUGAAUCAACGAGACCAGCCACUGACUGUGCUAAGUGUGGAACUUCAGAUGAUGAAUGUACCAACAUUUUCCCAGGAAGAAGCAUAUCUAUAGUUCUACUUAUAUGUUGCUCAUUUAUGGUGAGGACUCAAGAUGAUCAUAGCAGAAAAGGAAGAUCGCUCCAUUGGUAAUGUCUCCGCAUGGUUCAGGUGGCAAUAUGAUGAUAUAUCUGCUUGAAGAAGAUUUUAAUCAUAGUUUUCAUCACAUCUACACCUCAGAUUGGACAGUUGAAUAAAAAGCAGUUAGAAUUAGAAUUUCCUAGGAACGUCUCCUAUCUCUUCAUAGAAUGAGAAAUUCAUGUCCAUCUCUUCAAUUCUGGUACAACUCUCCUGGGGCAUCCAGCCCUGAGUGCCCUGUCUAACCCACCUGGCAAGCUGCUACCACCGCAGUCAACGCUUGCUCUUCGCCAGAACACUUGGAAAAGAAUGGAGUUUGUGAGAAAGAAAAAUGCGAGAUGAGGCUAAUUUUAUGAAUGGUUGUUUUGUGCUGUGAUCAUUUGUUUUACAUUUUAGCAUGCUUUGCUUUGUAUGUACUUGAUUUUUGCUGGGAAAAAAAAUUAUGGAAAAGCAUGAAUAUUCUGUAUGACCAGAGCUGUUCUUGGGAAUUACAAUGGAACAAGAGACAAGUUCUAGAAUAAAAGCAAGUCUGACCUGGAAGCGUAUUCUGUUCAUUUUUAUUUACCUGUUCAUUUAUUUACCUGUAGUCUAACUCAGGCCCAUUGAAACACCAGUACAGGAUUAAACAUAUUUGGAAUAUAUAUAUAUAUAUAUAUAUAUAUAUAUAUAUAUAUAUAUAUACACACACACACACACACACACACAUAUAUGCCAAUAGUGAAUUCAUUUUUUAAAUCUUUCAAUUUGGUCAAGGCAACUAGUAAUUGCCAAGUGAGUAUAUUCUGUGUAUUUUAAAAGUGACUAUGUUAAUAGGGUAAUACUACUGGCGAUUUUGUACUUUUCUCACAUAAUUUCCCAUAACAUUACCUUUUUUGUUUGAAUAAUUUUAAAAUAACCCAAUUGAUUAAAAGUAGGGUGUCAAAAAUUUUAAAGUACCCACAUACUGCUCUCUAGGAAGUUCUAAAGCAAACUCUACUCUUUAAUAAAGUUUUGUUUUUCCCUAAGAAUCCUGAUAUGUGCACAUGUGUAUAAAUGUAUGUAUAAGGAACACACCAGAUCCCUAAAUAUGAGGAUAAUAGGAGUUACCAAGAAUGUGAAGCCACGGGGCGCCUGGGUGGUAUAGUGGUUAAGCGUCUGCCUUUGGCUCAGGGCGUGAUCCUGGCGUUAUGGGAUCGAGCCCCACAUCAGACUCCUCUGCUAUGAGCCUGCUUCUUCCUCUCCCACUCCCCCUGCUUGUGUUCCCUCUUUCGCUGGCUGUCUCUAUCUCUGUCAAAUAAAUAAAUAAAAUCUUUAAAAAAAAAAAAAAGAAUGUGAAGCCAAAGGAACUCACACUCUGCUGAUGGGAGCGUGGAUUGUUCCGCCUUUGAACAGCAAGUUAGCGAUACCUAGUUAGGUUGAUGAUGCGUCUAUCCUACAACCCAGCUGUCCCACUACUAGAUCUACAUGCCUGUAGAAGCUCUCACACAUGUUCACGACGGCAUUGUGUGUUUCCGUGAAGUGUUGCCACCAACUGAAAUGUCCUAAAUGUGGUAUGUUGUACACUAGAGCUGUAUCUAUAAACAGUGGACAAAUAAGGAAGAUAACAUUGAAACAAAAGAAGUUGCAGAAGGAUACAUUAUGAUGUCAUUUAGACAACAUUUUGAAACCUGAGAAGCAAUAUUGCCUACUGUUUAUGAUUGCCCACAACUGUAGUGAAAGCAUAUAUAACACCACCUAUAUAACACCAAAUUCACGACAGUGGUUAUCUUUCAGUGGGGAGGGAUAAAGCAGGGGUCCAAUUAUCAUUAUAAUGUUUUAUUUCUUAAGCUGGAAAUUGGAAAAAUAGUAUUCUUUAUAUUUUAUACAUUUUUGGAUGCCUGACAUAUUUCAUAGUUUAAAAAGAGUAAGUCCAAUCAUAAAAGUAAUCAUAAAAUUCAAAUAAAUCCUUAUGCUACGUCCAACAUCAUGUUAAGAAUUGUGAGGAAUUUAAAAAUAUGUAUAACUGGGGCGCCUGGGUGGCUCAGUUGGUUAAGCAUAUGCUUUCAGCUCAGGUCAUGAUGCCAGGAUCCUGGGACCAAGCCCCACGUAGGGCUCCCUGCUCAGCGGGGUGUCUGCUUCUCCUCCUUCUCCUUCUCCUUCUGCUGCUCUCCCUGCUUAUGCUCUCUCGCUCUCUCGCUCUCUCUCUCAAAUAAAUAAAAUCUUAAACUCAUGUUUCUAUUAAAAAAUAAAACAAAUAAAAAAUAAAAAUAUGUAUAACUGUCCUUGCUGUUGAUGAGUUGGCAUUAAGUCAAGGUUGCUAGCAUUAGAUAACAUCCUAGAACAAUGGUUCUCCUUGAACAACAAGCACCAGGGAAACUUGUCCCAUCGCUGGUAUGCCACUUAAGUUUGAUAGCUGUAUAGAAUUAGUUUAUGUUACCACUGAGUGUACAUUCACCUUCCAUGUGGAUGUUGUGUCUGAGUGGUCACUUCAGGCUGCUCGAUGCAAGUUGAUGCACACGAGACGUAAGAGCGGUGAUAGAAGGGACAUUGUUUCACUGGAGGGACAAUCAUACUGUAAAUAGGAGUUUUAAAGAAAUGUGUUAUGUAUUUUGGGUAUUCCAGCCCAAAAUUUAGUACUUGGAUGUGUGCUGUGGGGACAAGAAGUUGAGAACCAAGAGCAGAGAAUGGCCAAAGGAUGAUGAAAAUACUGUGCCUGAAUUCAGAGUAAGGCUGCUAAGUGGAGCCAGUAAUUGCUUUGGAAAUCAAAGGAAAAAAUCACUUGGGAUUUCAAUCAUUGGAGAACACUUCCAGGAAUAAAGGGGAUUUACAUCAGGUAUUACUUACAGAUCAUUAAUGCUCUCCUUCCAGUUCCUUUAAGAUGACAGUACAAAUGCCUUCCAUGUCUUAAAAGACCCUGCAAAAUCUGACUUUUGCUCAUCUUUUCAGUCUAAUCUCAGCCCACGGCAAGGAACCUCUUUCCCUGAGUGCCUCCUUUUCAUCUUUCUGGGCUGGCUCUCACCUGCUUGGGAAUACCUUCCAUGAACUUUACAAAGCUGGGCAGGAACCCCCAGCACACUGCGUAUUCUCCUAGUGCUGGAUCUCUCCGUCUAGGUCCUCAUCAGGGAGGGUUAUAACAGCUUGUCUAGUUCGCUAGUCUAUGUCCCCAAGAGGCACGAAAGUGAACACCCCUACUUGUCCAUCACUGUACCCCCAACACCCAGGAUGCCACCUGGCACUUAAAAGGUAUCCAAUAAAAGUUUGAUGAAUGAAUAAACACAUUCACCUUGAGAGAUAAAUAUGGUCUAGUAUGGAUAGGAAGGGAACUGGCAUGAGAAAUGACAAGGGAACAAUAGCCAGCAAGACCUGUGUGUGUGUUUGUGCACUGAGUCAAUGGGCAGUGUGUGAGCAGUGUGUGACUGAAUUGGAUAUCUGGGAAUUAGUGGAAACUGAGGCCACAGCAGGUGUGGUGAGUUGCUGAAAAGCCUUUUCUUAAAAGCUUCAAGAAAAACCCGGCAAACUUUAAAAAAAAAAUUGGAACCAUUCUGUAAUAGCCAAUCUAUUUGAAUAUGGAGUGACCUGUAAACAAAAUUGCAUGUCCUCAAAAAGGAGCCAUGGCACAUGCAGAAAGUACAUACUUUCCUGAAGUUUCUGGGCAGAAACAACCCAUAGCUGAGCAC